Molecule: ribosomal RNA, 562 nt
Filed under: Corynebacterium xerosis
Lineage: Bacteria; Bacillati; Actinomycetota; Actinomycetes; Mycobacteriales; Corynebacteriaceae
Description: bacterial SSU rRNA
Rfam family: Bacterial small subunit ribosomal RNA
Source: RNAcentral
GUAAUGGCCUACCAAGGCGGCGACGGGUAGCCGGCCUGAGAGGGUGGACGGCCACAUUGGGACUGAGACACGGCCCAGACUCCUACGGGAGGCAGCAGUGGGGAAUAUUGCACAAUGGGCGGAAGCCUGAUGCAGCGACGCCGCGUGGGGGAUGACGGCCUUCGGGUUGUAAACUCCUAUCACCAUCGACGAAGGUUUUCUGACGGUAGAUGGAGAAGAAGCACCGGCUAACUACGUGCCAGCAGCCGCGGUAAUACGUAGGGUGCGAGCGUUGUCCGGAAUUACUGGGCGUAAAGAGCUCGUAGGUGGUUUGUCGCGUCGUCUGUGAAAUUCCGGGGCUUAACUCCGGGCGUGCAGGCGAUACGGGCAUAACUUGAGUACUGUAGGGGAGACUGGAAUUCCUGGUGUAGCGGUGAAAUGCGCAGAUAUCAGGAGGAACACCGGUGGCGAAGGCGGGUCUCUGGGCAGUAACUGACGCUGAGGAGCGAAAGCAUGGGUAGCGAACAGGAUUAGAUACCCUGGUAGUCCAUGCCGUAAACGGUGGGCGCUAGGUGUAGGGGUC